Molecule: long non-coding RNA, 1115 nt
Filed under: Sus scrofa (pig)
Lineage: Eukaryota; Metazoa; Chordata; Mammalia; Artiodactyla; Suidae
Description: lncRNA (ENSSSCG00015058457.1)
Source: RNAcentral
UUAUGUGAACUGCCCACUUACCUGGCCCCACCUGCUGAGCUUGGAGGCAUCCUUCAGGUCAUAGGUACACUCAUGUCCGGGCUCAGACACAGAGAAAUUCCCUUGGUAUGAACUGCCAGGAAUCAUUGGCAUGGAUGACAUGCUCUCAGGGGAGCCUCAAAGUUUUCUCAGGAUUUUCCAAGGGCUCUCCUGUUGCUGCUUCCAGGAGCAGGCAGCAAAGCUUAGCAAGAUCAUUCCCUGUUUCUCUCUUAAAAGUCUCCCCAGCUGAGAGGCAGCUUUAUUGAUAAUUUGAUCUGUGUCACCUACAGUCACUUUCUGACCCUGGAUUCAGGAUUCUAACAAUUUAUCAUUGAGGUCACUGAUUGUAAGCACCAGACAUUGACUAUGGAGAAAAGGGGAUUUUAUUAGAGCAACCCUGGAGAGUUUGCAGAACUGAGGAGAUGGACAAUCUGACCUCAGGAAGGGCAGGAACCUGGGCAGCUGGGUAGCUGGACCCACAGCAGGUCCCUUGGAGGGCUACCAUCAUGUGACUCUGCCCCAAUCCUGGCCCCAGCCCUUGUUGGGAAGGGUAGUAUGGUUGACAGCCUCCCCAGGAUCAUGUGCAAAGAGAAUGGUGAGGUGGGGUUCUGUUGUCAUAGAAAAAAGUAUUGAAAAACCCACAGAUGCCCACUGCUGAGUUGCAUAAGGAAUAACAGAAUAAGAAAAUCAAAAAGUAACGUAGAAUUUAUUUGCUCAAUGCAACAAGUUGGGGCUUAGGAAAUCAAGACCUGGAGAGGUUAAAUAACUUUUUCAUGGCAAAACCAGGCCUCAAAUCCAGCCAGGUUCCCUGACUCUUAGAGCAGGGCUUCUUCCACUUCAUACUCUACUGUGGACAAAGGAAGAAAAUACAGGAAAAUACAAUUAAGCCUUUGGAAUCUUCUCAUCACCACUGGCAGCUGUGUUUCAAUUUGCUUCUUCUUGGAGCAUCUUUAAUAUUUCAGUGUUCAGAGUUCCCGUCGUGGCGCAGUGGUUAACGAAUCCGACUAGGAACCAUGAGGUUGCAGGUUCGGUCCCUGCCCUUGCUCAGUGGGUUAAGGAUCCAGCGUUGCCGUGAGCUGUGGUGUAGGUUGCAGACG